Molecule: non-coding RNA, 3011 nt
Organism: Pelodiscus sinensis (Chinese soft-shelled turtle)
Lineage: Eukaryota; Metazoa; Chordata; Testudines; Trionychidae
Source: RefSeq, a predicted model, not a curated record
CUGUUAAAAGCAUUUGCGGAAAAUCAUGCCAGUCUAGACGUAGCCCUAGAGUCAUGCUGAAAUUAUACUUUGUGUCCCAGAAUUUCCUGCACCUCCAAAAUAAUGUCACAUUUCCUUUAAUACACUUUCAAUUUCUGAAUUCUGUCUAUCCUUCUCAAAUGAAACACAUUCCUUCCUUCCUUCUUUGAACCCAAUGCACGCCGCUGCUCCAUGUCUCUCUGCAUUCCCUUUACUUUUGAAAGUAGAGGAACAUACCCUUUUCUCUCUGACCUCACACACUGUGGUCAAGUACAAACACAUUCAAGAAAAGACAGAACAAUGCUCAAAAACAUACUGUUAUUUCUCCUGUGUAGUGAGUGGAGUUGCUAUUACAGCACAUGGGAAAGGACAUUCCAGGCACUUCUUCUAGUCCUACUAUACCAUUAUCUCUGUAGUCUCUGAAAUAGAAAACAUUUUUAAAUACAUAUUCUCAUUAGCGCUGGCUCUCCCAUUCAGUCCUUCUUGCCCCCACCUCCCAGCUAUAUACAGCUAAGAGUGGCUGAGAGGGAUAUGAUCCAGUUGCUGUGAAGAGAUGUUAUAUCUGUUGGCCAAUGAAAUACAGUGUUCAUUGUGCGGUCCUUCCUCUCUUGUACGUUCAUCUUUUCUAUGAAGUGCUACCAGACGAUUUGUUGUUUUUUAAGCUUAUCCUAUACAGACUAACUCGGCUACCCCCUGAAGCAUCUUUACUGUAUACUUCAUGGUGACUUUUCUGUAGUCUACCUCCACAACCAUGUAUGUGAACUAUUACUGAGACUGUGGUACUGUCUCUUUAAAAUGGGUCUUAUCAUGUCCUCCCAUUACCACUUUGUCAGGUUUCUCUGGCAUGUAGGAGCCAUCUUGUUAUGUGUAUGCAUAAAAGAGAAACAUGUACCUGUGUAACUCUAUGUUCCUGACAUGCAGAGGCUGUAGCUCCCUCACAAAGACAGGGACUCUUCCAGCUACAUGACUGUGCUAGCAACAAUGUAGGGCGGCAGAAGAGAGACUCCGUUCUAUAGGAAGUGGCUAUUUUUUUUGCCAGGAUGCAGUGUAAAUGGUGCAAACUGUCACACGCAGACAAGACGCUGCCAUCCACAGACCAGCCGAAACCAAACAGAAGGCACAGCAUAUGAAGACAAGUAUUUAUAGAGCACCCAGCAGCAUAGAAACCAGGCACUGUGUUAAUACACCUCUCCUGGCCUGUCCCUCCAAGGGGCCCCUCACUACCCUCCUUCUCUCCUCCAUGUAAUUAAGUAAUCACAAUGGAACAGUUGUGCUUGAAAGCACAAUUGCUCUAGCAGGGGCAUGGCCAUUGUUGGUGGCAAGGUGCUUUCAGGCUUCAUCCCUCUCAGAUCAUCCCUACAGAAGCUUCAGCAUGAUUGUGUGCUGAUGAAGGUGGAAAAAAACCAAGAACAAUUGUGUCCUCUUCUAGAUGGAGAACAUAAAUUCAGAGAGGUCUCACAGAAGAAUAUCACUUUCUCCUCAGUUAAGCAAGAAUUUCCUGUGUCCAACAUCAUAUGAGCGUCAGUAGUGAUCUAAAAUUACCACAGAAGAUACAGGAUGCCUGGCUGAGAUCCCUGUUUAUUUAUGUAUCUGGGUCAUUGUUAGGGUUUUUGCUGUUGGUCCGUUACCACAAUUGACAGAGGCCUUCUCCCAGUUUGUGUUAGAUAUUAGACCCAUGUUGUACCCAGAUGGGACCAAAGGUAGCUCUGCUUUGGGAAGGGAUCCAAAAUGGGGAGAUUUCAAGGGAGUUUCACCAAAUAUUUAGUAACUCACUGAACAUGUCAGAUUCUUCUCAUGAGUUUAUAGAUCAGCCCUGAAGACAGAUCAUUCUCAACCCAGGGGAUAGUAAAAACCCCUGCAUCUUUCCACUGAGGAGGCAAGAGAUCAGAAUGUUAUAUCCUGAAUGGAAGAUCAUAGGCUAGCUUGUAUUACAGUUGGAAUGAUUUUGGGUGAGUUCUUGCUCUCGCAUGCCAAGGAAAAUACAGGCCCUAGAAUGCAUGUUAUGAUUUUAUGCGCAACUUUGUUAUCAGUAUUGCUCCUUUUUAUCACUCGAGCCUCUGUUUUUUGUUAAAGAAAACCUUUCUCACUAAAUAAAUCUCUGUGUCAUGUGUAAAGCAGAGCUGGUUCGUGGUAAGCUCUGCUGAAUAGCUCUUUGGAAGUGGCAGCUCUGGAGCACCAGGGAGCCAGUGUCCAGUGGAUCAGGGCUCAAAACUGCAGGUGGAUGCUUGGAGGGCUUGGAUUGGAGUCAGUGUUCCCUCUAAGCUGCUCGCCUGCGUGGCCGCCCAUAGAGCACUCUCCACUCACUUUUUUGCUGGACCUGAAGGUGAGAGGUAGCAGCAGUGGCAAUAGUGAGCUGCUGGGGCCACGUGACAGCAAGUGGCUGCCUUGCCCCCAGUUUGCUUCAUUGAAUGUGGUGUUUGGGGUUCUUUUCCAGAUGAGCAUGUCUUGCUGAGUGCAGCACAGUCCGUGGUCUUACUUUACACUCUGGAACCAGCUACAAGUCUGCAGAAAAUGGGCUCAUCAAGUGGGGAUUUUCAAAAGCAACUUAAGGACAUACAUGCUAUUGAAAAUCAGGGGGAUGUGCUUCUGGGGCACUUUUGAAAAUCCCACUCAGCUGAACGUGACUCUAGAACCAGAAUUUUUGCAGAUUCAGGAUUUGAAAUUUCACAUAGUGUUGAUGCUCCAAAAACAAAAAAGAUAUUUAAGAGAGUUUCGUAAAAAAGUGAAAUUUGUGGGCAUGACAUUGCCUAAAACACAGUGAAAAUGUCUGUGCUUAAUUCUACCGUGACAUUUUCAUCAGUUUCAUGCACCAACAGUGCUUUGUCGAGCAGGCAACAAAAGGAAGAGGGAUUAAGUGUGGAUUUUUCCCUCUUAGCACAACCAAAAUUCUCAUUAAAGACAAUGGGGCACAUUCUGAUCUCUCUCACGCCAGCAUAAAUCAAGAGUCACUGCUAUGAAGUCUAUAGUUACUCCAGUGAAGGAGAUAGGGUAAG